AUCUAAUUAUUGUCGAGCCUGCAACUUUUGUUGCAGAAAGCUCGACAUAGGGAUAGUGAUCCGGCGGCGGCGGCGUUAGCUCACUUCUUAAAAAGCUUUAUAUUUUAGAAGGUGGAAGACCUGGAUGCUUCAUACUUUGUAUAUAGAUGCUUCAUGUUACGAAGUUUCCGUCAGUCACAUGUCCAAUGUCCUUGACCUCAUUUUCAUGGUUCAGUGACCACUUGAAAAAAAAAGUUCAAAUUUUUUGUAAUGUUGAAUUCUCUCUUAUUAUAAGUAAUAUGAUAACUAUAUUUGAUAUGUGCGUACCUUGCAAGGUCCUCGUGUCUGUCAGACAGUUUUCACUUGACCUCGACCUCAUUUCAUGGAUCAGUGAACAAGGUUAAGUUUUGGUGGUCAAGUCCAUAUCUCAGAUACUAUAAGCAAUAGGGCUAGUAUAUUCGGUGUAUGGAAGGACUGUAAGGUGUACAUGUCCAACUGGCAG
This 481-nucleotide long non-coding RNA is filed under the name Mytilus galloprovincialis (Mediterranean mussel). The record is from RNAcentral. Lineage: Eukaryota; Metazoa; Mollusca; Bivalvia; Mytilida; Mytilidae.